UGCAGCUUCCUUUCUCCGUUUUAGUCGAAAAGCUUUUCCAGAAAGUGCUGGAGCCUUUACUUUUUAAUUCUCAAUUUUCUGGAAGGAGAAUUUAAGGGACACUGUCAAUCAAACUAUUAAAUAACAAAACUGUAUUCAACAACAACGAAAUAAAAAAGGAUGGUUUACAUCUAUCAAUUAAUUUAUAUCAUGUGUAACAAUGGUAUGCUGGUAAUCGUCCAUUUAUAUGGCCUUGUGGGAUUUGAAAUUAUUAAAUGCUAACUUGAUGGAGUCGUAUUGUGCUUGUUUUCAUAUAAGGAUGGUAUUUAAGCUCCUAGCAUAUGAUAAACAUCACUCGAUCUUGAUGAUUUGUCAUUUUAUGUUGAGUUGAAAUGAUGUAGUGUUUAGUUUUCUUGGCCAUGGUCCAUUUUUCAUGUAUUGACUCAUCAAAAGUAGUUGCUUUCCUGUGUGUUUCGGGCGUCAUUCCCUCUCCUGAUUUAACAAGUGCAUAAUGUAGCAAGGGUUGUCGCACACCUUUUAGUUAACUCACUUGAAUAUUUCGCAAUUUUAAAGAGAUCCUCAAUUGUUUAUGAAGUUGAGAUAGGUACACAUUUGCUACCCUGUUACAUUUCUAAUACUUAAUGUCUAUUACAAUUUUGGCCAAAGUGCUAUAAAUGAAUUUUAAAUUAGUAGUUACUUAUGAUAGGUACACGUUGCUUGAUUUAUGAUGGCAUUUAAGAGCUUUGUCUUUUCGGACGGUUCAUAGAUUUGUUAAACUUGGUAUAUGCUUUCUAGGGUGAUUAUAUAAUCAGUGAAACUUUUGAAACAUAUAAAUUUACACGCCUUGUGCAUGGGGUACCGUACUUUUUGUUGUAUACUCUAUCUGCCCUAUUCGCUGCCAAAAUGGCUUGAUGAAAAUUUUUAUCAACUACAAACUUUUUUUUCCUAAUGGUGAUGGUGUGUAUGGAUCCCCAAAAUUGGCUCCUGCUGAUAUAGAGGAAGAUAAGAUAUCAUGACAGGAGAGAAAUGCUUUUAGAAAAGAGAAAAAAUAUGCGACAAGUGAAUUGUAAAAUUCAUAUUUAUGCAUCUCAUGGUAUAACCAUUAAUCUUGAAUUCUUUAUCCUGAAUUUAUUUUUUUUGCGACUAGAAGCUAGUGAAAAAAUGGAGAUAUUCAGGGGUUCCAAAUAUUUAAUGAGGCCGUGAAGCAUAUUUGGUCCAUCAAAGAAAAGAAGAAUUGAAUGAUCUAUUAGGAGGUACUUACAAUUGUAACCAGUGAAAGAUAAAUAUAAUGCAUCAGUAACUUUGUAUUUCUAAUAUUGCAAUUUGUAAUGUCAAGGGGAAAGUGAUGGACUGCCAAAAUUUGCCUAUUUCUAAGAUAUGCUUCUCUCUGAUACAGAGAUCCAAUCUCAAUCUAUACAUCAAUGCUAUUCACUGUGAGCUUCAACCAUUUGCUUGUACCAUUCCUGGUUGUGGGAUGAAAUUUGCAUUCAAACAUAUCAGGGAUAAUCAUGAAAAAUCUGGGUGCCAUGUUUAUGCCCAGGUAAGUUUGGCCUUAUUUCCCAAUUUUACAACUCGACUAUCAGUCCCUUUUCCAUUCUGAGAGAUGUCUUGGGCAAUUAAAAUUUAAACUAAUCUUUGAGUCUUGCUCUGUUAAGGGAAAUUUUGAAGAGUCCAAUGAGCAAUUCGUCUAAGACCAAGAGGUUUCAGGAAAAGAACAAGCCUAGAGAUUGAAACCUUGAUGCGGAAAAGGGUUGUUUCGCCUAGUGAAUCAGGUCUCAUGAGACAGGAGGGACCUGAAUACUUGUCGUGGCUACUUUUUGGAUAUUCACAGGAUUAAAUGAUUGUUGGGAGAAGACGGAGAUGCUGCCAUCAAACAUAUGUAAAAGUAUGGUAUUCACAGGAUUAAGAGGACUUGCUUGGAGAAUUCAACAAACAUAUGUAUAAGUAUGGUAUCUUUGUUGAUUUUAAUUGCUACUAUCAUACAGUAGACAUGUUUUGGUUUGUUUUUUUUUUUUUAUGUAAUAAAUUGGACAAAUCUGAUCAUUGUUUAUUGAAUUGAUUAUAUCGAUU
This 2049-nucleotide long non-coding RNA is filed under the name Olea europaea subsp. europaea. Lineage: Eukaryota; Viridiplantae; Streptophyta; Magnoliopsida; Lamiales; Oleaceae. The record is from RNAcentral.